RNAcentral lists this long non-coding RNA (1885 nucleotides) under Pan troglodytes (chimpanzee). RNAcentral describes it as "long non-coding RNA NONPTRT016010". The record is from RNAcentral. Lineage: Eukaryota; Metazoa; Chordata; Mammalia; Primates; Hominidae.
GGGGUGCAGUGGUGCAAUCAUAGCUCACUGCAGCCUCAUAUUCCUGGGCUCAAGUGAUGCUUCUGCCUCAGCCUUCCAAAGUGUUGGGAUUACUGGUGUGAGCCACUAUGCCCGGCUGAGGAUGCAUUUAAAAUCAGACUUCUGCUUCAUCAUCACUUCAGAGUUUCCCAGGCAUUGACCAGAACGACUCCCAUGAUCUCCUAUAAUUACAUCCAUGAAUUACCUCCUCCAAGGAGAACAUAAGCACCUUGAGAGAAAGAAGUGCCUCUUAAAAUCAUAUCCCAAACCCCAAGACAAAUGAUGUUAGUGUCUAAGAAAAAAAGACAAAAUGCUAGCUGAGCAGAAGGACACAGAGCCAAGCAAGGAGGGAGCUUCCUCUGGGACUCCUGAAGCCCCAGAACAGCAGGUGUCUGUGUGGUAGACUGGCUGCUGCUCUAAUCGCUUUCAGCUGAGAAACACCAGUAUCAUGACACAAGCUCCCAAAAGAGUAGUAUGUUACAUUUACAUUGUAAGAAAUGAGCUGGGAUUUCAGACAGAAGGAAAGGAUGGUCCUCACGGCUGGCUGAGCAUGUGUGGGGGUGGUUAGGAUGCAGCUGCUCUCUCCCAAAACCCGGCCCUCACCCCUCACUCUUGGCUGACGAGCUAUUUCCCUGAGAAAAGAAGCAAAGAGGAAUGCUAUGUCUACCCUCUUCUCUAACCACCUCAUGGGACACCUCCAGCUGUCUGCAUCUCUGUCCCCUCUGGCUGACUCGAGGCCCCACAGCCAUUUUCACCCCAUGGGCAACAACUAUUUCUCAUUCUCGACAGAAUCACCCCCACUAUUAUCUCUCCCAUGAAAACAAAACAAAAUGAAAAAUCCUUUCUUAACCUCAACUCCUAUUCCUGCUACUAUCCAAUUUCUCUUUUUCCUUUAGGGCAAAAUUUCUCAAAAAAAAAAAAAAAUUCUGAAUAGACCAAAUUCAAUUCUUCUACCACUCUCUCCUAAACCUCUCCAAUCAGGAUUUCCCUUACAGAUCCAGCCACAGGGCCUCAGAGAGUCACACGACCUCCCCUGAGCUAAAUCCCAGCACUAUUUCUCAGUCUUCCUUGGGCUGGACUCUUAACAGCAUUUGACACAGUUGAUCACCUGUCCCUGAAGCUUCUCAUUCCCUUGGCUUCAGAAACUGCACGCUCCUGGUUCUCCCUCUAGCCUGACCAGUAGCACCUUCCCAGUUCCUCCUUCUCUACCAGACUGCACAUGGGAGAGCACCAGAUUCGUCUCCCAAACUCCACACACACACACACACACACACACCAGAUUCAUCUCCCAAACUCCACACACACACACACACCAGAUUCAUCUCCCAAACUCCACACACACACACACACACACACGUUUGUCUCCCAAACUACACACACGCACACACACCAGAUUCAUCUCCCAAACUCCACACGCACCAGAUUCAUCUCCCAAACUCCACACACACACACACACACACAUCAGAUUCGUCUCCCAAACUCCACACACACACCCCCCCUAGAUUCGUCUCCCAAACUACACACACACACACCAGAUUCAUCUCCCAAAACACACACACACACACACACACACACACACAUCUUCUUGAUGCUGCCACUCAUCGCAUACUAACACAGCUAACACAGCUCCCAAACUACACACACACACACACACACACACACACACCCCUACCUGCCUUCCUGAUGCUGCCACUCACUGCAUACCAACACAGCCCAAAUUUUAAACAUCUGAAACCUAAUUCUGGCCUUUUCUCAAGCCUGCUUUACCCACAGUCUUCCCCAUCCCAGCUUCAGGCAACCUCAUUUUCGUAGUAGCCACUCUGGGAGCCACACAAGUGCUUUUCCCAUGGGGGAAGCACGAUACGAU